This 571-nucleotide non-coding RNA is filed under the name Pan troglodytes (chimpanzee). Lineage: Eukaryota; Metazoa; Chordata; Mammalia; Primates; Hominidae. The record is from RNAcentral.
AGAACCCAGAAUGUGAUUCUCAGGACCUGUCGCAUAAUUUCACAACCAAGCAUUCUUGCAUUCUUCUUUGUACCUGAAUCGUAGAAAGUUCUGGAAAAAGCUAGGAGCCUCCUCAUGACCUCUCCUGCCAGAAGCAAUGAUCCCGGAGAAUUGAUACUUGCGGAGUGGGGAGUUCAAAAAAGUCAGUGACCAAAACCCCCUCAUACCAUAAAUGCUAUUGCCUCCUCUGGUCCAGAGUUUCCCAUCCUCCACACCAUUGACAUCUUGGGCUGGAUAAUUCUUUAUUGUAGGGGGCUGUCCUGUGCAUUGUAGGAGGCCUCCACCCACUAGAUGCCAGUUGCAACCUGCCCCCGACGUUGUGACAAUCAAAAAGUCUCUGGACAUUGCCAAAUGCCCUCUUGGGGAGAGGGCAGGGAGCACAUAUCUGCAUGACAAUGUACAGAACUGACUUAUAAUAUUAUUAUUGUUUUAUUUUAUAUGCUGGGGCCAAUCCAGGAUAAACUCACUACAGCUGCCUUGUUCUCUGUCCACCAAGUACUGUCCAAAAACACAUAGUGGUGAUUGACAUCUC